Non-coding RNA from Cinara cedri, 1747 nucleotides. Lineage: Eukaryota; Metazoa; Arthropoda; Insecta; Hemiptera; Aphididae. The record is from the annotation of a GenBank genome assembly.
GUCAACAUAUCGAGACACAUACACCUCGUAUAUACACGCCUAUUUAUUUCGUCAAGUUCUCCGCAACUUACACUCAAAAAUCAUCAUGUACAAGUUAAUGGUGAGUACGAUAUGAUAAAUGUAAUUCCUAAUUUUUUUUUUCUUUUAAAGAUACAAAUUAUUUCUUAUUUUGUUAAACAUUUCGACCGCGAAUCGCCACCAAAAUAUUCACAGUUUAUGUAGACACAGUGUUAUUAAUAUAACUUAAAAUUAACUUUAUUUCUAAUUUUAAAACAGCAUAUCUCUUUGCUAUCAAUGUCUAUAUUAUUAUUUUCAUUAAUAAAUCGAUGACGGAGAUGCAAUAACUAUUGUUCGGUUCAAUAAUGUAUUUAGUUUUUCAUUUUUGUCCCCAUAAAAUCCACGGUAGCAAGUUUAUAAAUUUAUUUCGAAACAAAAUUUUGGAGCAGAAAAUGUUUGUACUCAUUUCGAAUCGUAAAUUUCGUGUAUUUUACAAAAAUAAUGUAUGUACAUACAAUUAUUUUCUGUAGAAAAAUACUUGGCGAAUCGACUGAUUGUAUUUUAGGCAACUUAAUCAAUGUAAACUAUCGUAAAUUAAAACGUAAAAAAAUUUUUUUUUCUGAAUGUGUCUUAACAAUUAAUUAAUGAAUGAAUUGUGUUUCUAUUUUUCCGUUUUAAAAGUAUGAAAUUGUAUCUAAAGUAUAACGAUCGUGCAUACAUUAUACUUUAUACUAAUCUUGGCGGGUCUUUAAAGAUUACAUUUUUUGUUAACAUUUUUUAUUUCUAGGCCUAUUAUAUAAAAAAAAUAAAUUUUGAAUAUAAAAAAUAUUAUUAUUAUUUUCGAGUUUUCUACUAUUUAAAAUAAAACUAGCUAAAUUUCCAAAAUUAAUAUAUGUGUGAACCCGACAUAUAAUGACAUAUAAAAUUAAAUACAAUGUACUAAUACUUUACCUAUUUUAUAAAAAUUAUAUAAUUCUAAUUUUAAAAUAAUUAAAUACAUUUUUCUGUUUUCAGUUAUUGAUCGUCGCCGCUUUGGCUUUAAUCGCUGUCGCUUCUGCUCAAUUCAUUUACCGGCCUUACGCACCAGUCUACACCUACCCGUCUUACCCCCUCACUUACCCAAUAACUUACAACCCAUACGUCACUUUACUUCGCCGAUAGAAAAAUCGUAUUUCUAUAUGAUGUGAUAUAUAUAAACAAAGUAAGCACACAUUUUAUACGAUAUACCUACUUGUAUAUUAUUCAAAAUAUUUGACUAUUUCAAUUAUUUCAACGUUUUUAAAAAACUAUGACGUUUCGAAAAACGUAUUUAAACGGUAUUAUUUUCAUUCAAUUUGUUAAAUAUACUUCUAUAAAUUCCAUUGCUCUUUUUAAAUUUUCUCGUAAAAUAACACUUUUAAAAACCCUAUUUUACAUGUGUAAAUACCUAUAUUUAUUUAUUUUUAUUAAUUAUUUCAUUUUUUAUUUUUUACAGAACCAGAAAAAUGAAAAUACCUCUAAUUUAUAAUUAUAAGCAUUCGGAGGUAACCUCUGCUGUAAAAAUAUCAACAAAGUAAAAUGUAUUCUUCGAACAUACUUUUUUGUUAUAAAUAUUAUAAUUUUUUACUGUAAUGUUUCAUAUUGUCACAUUUUCAAACAUAAAAUCAUUGUAUUAAGUAAAUUAUCUAACUAAUAAAUAUUAUUCUUCGUAAAUGACUUACUGGACGUAUAUUAUUUAUUAUUUAUUCAUUAUGGACCAACUGUAGUACCU